CCUUAACAAGGUCGGCACACGUCCGAUACGACCGAUUGGACAAAUCACACUGAAAAGACCAAUGCCAGGUACUGAACUUUGAUAUCACGGUGAAACAUUAUAAGUUAAACGUUCGAUUGAGAUCCAUAAACUUCGUUAUCAGCUCUUGGUAGAGCGAUGACGAAUAGUACAAAGAUUGGAGAGAUCUGAAUAGUAAUCAAAUUGGCGAUAUGGCUUAAGUGGCGGACAAAAGAGAUACAACUUUCGGCUAUUCGAGCUCUGAAAUGAUGUCAAACUGUUGAUACUGGUCGUGACCUUUUG
Molecule: non-coding RNA, 300 nt
Organism: Drosophila suzukii
Lineage: Eukaryota; Metazoa; Arthropoda; Insecta; Diptera; Drosophilidae
Source: RefSeq, a predicted model, not a curated record